CUGAUCCAGCAAUGCCGCGUGUGUGAAGAAGGCCUGAGGGUUGUAAAGCACUUUCAGUGGGGAGGAGGUUUGCCAGGUUAAGAGCCAGGUAAAUGGACGUUACCCACAGAAGAAGCACCGGCUAACUCCGUGCCAGCAGCCGCGGUAAUACGGAGGGUGCAAGCGU
RNAcentral lists this ribosomal RNA (166 nucleotides) under uncultured bacterium. Its description in RNAcentral is "partial 16S ribosomal RNA". It matches the Rfam family "Bacterial small subunit ribosomal RNA", at positions 383 to 541 of the family's 1533-position model. The record is from RNAcentral.